GGAUGUGAGGGCGAUGGGACUGAGACAUCUGUCACCUCAUUGAUCACCAGGCUUGAUUCAGUUGAUUUGGCUGGCUAGGCGGGUGUCCCCCUUCUCCCUCACCAUUCUAUGUGUGUCCCUCCUAAAACUGCAAACUCUGUUGAAGAGGACGACCUUCAAGGAGAUAACCGUUUUCUUAGGUCAUGGGUGUACAAGUAGCCGUGCUCUCCUGCUAGAACCUCCUAACAAGCUCUCCAGGUCCAUUUGUAAGAUAACGUAGGAUAGUCAACCUUCUGAGACUCCAGAUACUCCAAAUGAGACACUGCAUGUGGCAGUUUCCCUUUCUUU
Canis lupus familiaris (dog) is the source of this 327-nucleotide non-coding RNA. The record is from Rfam. NCBI's taxonomy places the organism in Eukaryota, Metazoa, Chordata, Mammalia, Carnivora, Canidae.